GCCGGUGUUAAACCGGAGGAAGGUGGGGAUGACGUCAAGUCCUCAUGGCCCUUAUGUCCAGGGCUACACACGUGCUACAAUGGCCGGUACAAAGGGCUGCAAUACGCAAGGUGGAGCGAACCCCAAAAGCCGGUCUCAGUUCGGAUUGGAGUCUGCAACUCGACUCCAUGAAGUUGGAAUCGCUAGUAAUCGCGGAUCAGCACGCCGCGGUGAAUACGUUCCCGGGCCUU
RNAcentral lists this ribosomal RNA (230 nucleotides) under uncultured Pelobacter sp. RNAcentral's name for it is "partial 16S ribosomal RNA". It matches the Rfam family "Bacterial small subunit ribosomal RNA", at positions 1151 to 1382 of the family's 1533-position model. The record is from RNAcentral. Lineage: Bacteria; Pseudomonadati; Thermodesulfobacteriota; Desulfuromonadia; Desulfuromonadales; Desulfuromonadaceae.